Molecule: long non-coding RNA, 223 nt
Filed under: Elaeis guineensis (African oil palm)
Lineage: Eukaryota; Viridiplantae; Streptophyta; Magnoliopsida; Arecales; Arecaceae
Description: long non-coding RNA (EGUI_LNC075005)
Source: RNAcentral
CCUCAUUCUCAUCUGAUUUAAAAUCUCAAUUAUCAAAAUUUAUUCCAAUGCUGACCCAAUCAUCGUCUUCCAUUUGAAUGUCAUAUCCCGCACUUACUACUACUUCCACCAUAAGAGAAGUCAUCAUAGAAGAAGUUAUCAUAAGACUUUGAAUAAUUAGAUAACUAAGGCCAACAGUAUUAGAAUAUUGUUUUACAAACAUGGCCUCAACACCAACGGUUCG